UGAAAUCUGGCCCUCGGGUCCGAGUUGUAAUUUGUAGAGGAUGCUUUUGGCAAGGUGCCUUCCGAGUUCCCUGGAACGGGACGCCAUAGAGGGUGAGAGCCCCGUCUGGUCGGACACCGCGCCUCUGUAAAGCUCCUUCGACGAGUCGAGUAGUUUGGGAAUGCUGCUCUAAAUGGGAGGUAUAUGUCUUCUAAAGCUAAAUACCGGCCAGAGACCGAUAGCGCACAAGUAGAGUGAUCGAAAGAUGAAAAGCACUUUGAAAAGAGAGUUAAAAAGCACGUGAAAUUGUUGAAAGGGAAGCGAUUAUGACCAGACUUGGGCCUGUUUGAUCAGCUCGGGUUCUCCCGGGUGCACUCUCUCAGGCUCAGGCCAGCAUCAGUUCGUCGCGGGGGACAAAGGUCGCGGGAAUGUAGCUCCCCUCGGGGAGUGUU
RNAcentral lists this ribosomal RNA (431 nucleotides) under Thelonectria olida. RNAcentral describes it as "partial large subunit ribosomal RNA". It matches the Rfam family "Eukaryotic large subunit ribosomal RNA", at positions 116 to 557 of the family's 3401-position model. The record is from RNAcentral. Lineage: Eukaryota; Fungi; Ascomycota; Sordariomycetes; Hypocreales; Nectriaceae.